GGUUUGAUAUGCCUGGCCCGCCACGGUUACGUGUGUGUGCGCCGGUGCGUGUCUGCCAUCCUUCUGGAAAACGUGUCUACCCUUCACUGGGCCGGAUACGCGAUCCAGAUCUUUUACUUUGAAAAAAUUAGAGUGUUUAAAGCAGGCAUUUUGCUAUGAAUACAUUAGCAUGGAAUAAUAAUUUAGGACUUUGGUCCUAUUUUGUUGGUUUCUAGGACCGAAGUA
This 225-nucleotide ribosomal RNA is filed under the name uncultured fungus. Its description in RNAcentral is "partial small subunit ribosomal RNA". The stretch from base 103 to 225 matches the Rfam family "Eukaryotic small subunit ribosomal RNA", at positions 741 to 864 of the family's 1831-position model. Lineage: Eukaryota; Fungi. The record is from RNAcentral.